Non-coding RNA from Pelodiscus sinensis (Chinese soft-shelled turtle), 342 nucleotides. NCBI's taxonomy places the organism in Eukaryota, Metazoa, Chordata, Testudines, Trionychidae. The record is from RefSeq and is a predicted model, not a curated record.
UGGCUGAGGGCCCUGCUCCCCAGGGCUCCCUGUGGUUUCACUGCUUCGAGGCAGCCCUGCAAGGAGAGGUGCACCUCACGUCCUACACGAGCCCCCGGCACCAGGAGGCCCUGAGCCAGAUGCACCGUGUGCCAGCCUGUUCCUGGCCUGCAGCACAGGGCGCCAUGCGGCCAUGCCAGGGUAAGAGCUUGUCGCUGGUUCACGGCCCCCUUGCCGGGGGGUCUGUGGGAGAUGAAGCCCCAGCAGGUGCGCCCCCAUUCCAGGUGGUGCUCACGGGGUACCCUGGACCUGGCAGCCGGCCUGUUCCCCCCCCUGCUCUGCCAAAGCUGGGCACAGGCAACU